This 314-nucleotide unclassified non-coding RNA is filed under the name plant metagenome. Its description in RNAcentral is "partial contains 5.8S ribosomal RNA, internal transcribed spacer 2, and large subunit ribosomal RNA". The stretch from base 1 to 105 matches the Rfam family "5.8S ribosomal RNA", at positions 50 to 154 of the family's 154-position model. The record is from RNAcentral.
GAAAUGCGAUAAUUAAUGUGAAUUGCAGAAUUCAGUGAAUCAUCGAGUCUUUGAACGCACAUUGCGCCACCUGGUAUUCCGGGGGGCAUGCCUGUCCGAGCGUCAUUGCUGCCCUCAAGCACGGCUUGUGUGUUGGGCUUCCGUCCCUGGCAACGGGGACGGGCCCAAAAGGCAGUGGCGGCACCAUGUCUGGUCCUCGAGCGUAUGGGGCUUUGUCACCCGCUCCCGUAGGUCCAGCUGGCAGCUAGCCUCGCAACCAAUCUUUUUAACCAGGUUGACCUCGGAUCAGGUAGGGAUACCCGCUGAACUUAAGC